GUCCCGGUAGUCUAAUGGAUAGGGCUGCAGAUUCCGGUUCUGCCAGUACGGGUUCGAUUCCUGUCCGGGACACCA
Molecule: transfer RNA, 75 nt
Filed under: Clostridiaceae bacterium
Lineage: Bacteria; Bacillati; Bacillota; Clostridia; Eubacteriales; Clostridiaceae
Description: tRNA-Arg
Rfam family: tRNA
About the family: Transfer RNA (tRNA) molecules are approximately 80 nucleotides in length. Their secondary structure includes four short double-helical elements and three loops (D, anti-codon, and T loops).
Source: RNAcentral